Molecule: long non-coding RNA, 337 nt
Organism: Microplitis mediator
Lineage: Eukaryota; Metazoa; Arthropoda; Insecta; Hymenoptera; Braconidae
Exons: 4
Source: RefSeq, a predicted model, not a curated record
UUAACAUUCACAACAAGUUGAGAUCGUCAACACUUCAUAUCAAACAUUCAGUUAAUUCUCAUAAAAAUGAACUCCAAAUUGAUGUUUAUAGUUUUAUUAUUCGCAAUGUGGUCAACUGUUGCAAAUGGUAUAUUCUUCGACAAUGAAAAAAUUUUUAAAAUGGAUAGUAGCGACAUAUUCACAGAUCCGGAAGAGACUCAAACAAAGUAAUCACCCACGGAAACCGAAACUGAAAUCCCGAAUAUGUUAUCAAUAAAAUUUGAAUUUACUUAUUAUAAAAAUGUUAUUAUUGUUAUUUUUAUCGCAUGUCGUAAUAAAUUUUAACAAAAUAAAAUAA